RNAcentral lists this ribosomal RNA (468 nucleotides) under uncultured bacterium. Its description in RNAcentral is "partial 16S ribosomal RNA". It matches the Rfam family "Bacterial small subunit ribosomal RNA", at positions 28 to 507 of the family's 1533-position model. The record is from RNAcentral.
GACGAACGCUGGCGGCGUGCUUAACACAUGCAAGUCGAACGGAAAGGCCCUGCUUUUGUGGGGUGCUCGAGUGGCGAACGGGUGAGUAACACGUGAGUAACCUGCCCUUGACUUUGGGAUAACUUCAGGAAACUGGGGCUAAUACCGGAUAGGAGCUCCUGCUGCAUGUUGGUUGUUGGAAAGUUUCGGCGGUUGGGGAUGGACUCGCGGCUUAUCAGCUUGUUGGUGGGGUAGUGGCUUACCAAGGCUUUGACGGGUAGCCGGCCUGAGAGGGUGACCGGCCACAUUGGGACUGAGAUACGGCCCAGACUCCUACGGGAGGCAGCAGUGGGGAAUAUUGCACAAUGGGCGGAAGCCUGAUGCAGCAACGCCGCGUGCGGGAUGACGGCCUUCGGGUUGUAAACCGCUUUCGCCUGUGACGAAGCGUGAGUGACGGUAAUGGGUAAAGAAGCACCGGCUAACUACGUG